GCCGAUGUAGCUCAGCUGGCCAGAGCAGUCCCUUCGUAAGGGAAAGGUCGGCGGUUCGAAUCCGCCCAUCGGCU
This 74-nucleotide transfer RNA is filed under the name bacterium. Its description in RNAcentral is "tRNA-Thr". It matches the Rfam family "tRNA". From Rfam's summary of the family: Transfer RNA (tRNA) molecules are approximately 80 nucleotides in length. Their secondary structure includes four short double-helical elements and three loops (D, anti-codon, and T loops). Further hydrogen bonds mediate the characteristic L-shaped molecular structure. tRNAs have two regions of fundamental functional importance: the anti-codon, which is responsible for specific mRNA codon recognition, and the 3' end, to which the tRNAs corresponding amino acid is attached (by aminoacyl-tRNA synthetases). tRNAs cope with the degeneracy of the genetic code in two manners: having more than one tRNA (with a specific anti-codon) for a particular amino acid; and 'wobble' base-pairing, i.e. permitting non-standard base-pairing at the 3rd anti-codon position. The record is from RNAcentral. RNAcentral also lists the same sequence under 1 other name.